CCUAAGCUAUAGCUAUAGGACUAUAUCAAUCCAACUUCUUCUCCAUACCAAGUCCUUAGAAACAAACUAUUUCAACCCAACUAUAUUCAAACUCGAUCAAAUUCUAAAUAUAUGCUUAGAAUUGAUCAAACCGUCUUUUUAUCUUAAUACAUGCGACUAAGGUGAAAAUAAUAAAUUAGGUUUUUUUUACUAAUCAAAUUAAAUCGAUUGGACUCGAAUACAUAUACUUAGAGUUCAAAAAAAGGAAACCAAGUUAGACUCUAAUAUGCAUAAUUAGGGUUU
This 282-nucleotide long non-coding RNA is filed under the name Ananas comosus (pineapple). Its description in RNAcentral is "long non-coding RNA (ACOM_LNC021432)". Lineage: Eukaryota; Viridiplantae; Streptophyta; Magnoliopsida; Poales; Bromeliaceae. The record is from RNAcentral.